Molecule: ribosomal RNA, 253 nt
Filed under: uncultured bacterium
Lineage: Bacteria
Description: partial 16S ribosomal RNA
Rfam family: Bacterial small subunit ribosomal RNA
Source: RNAcentral
UACGGAUGGAGCUAGCGUUGUUCGGAAUUACUGGGCGUAAAGCGCACGUAGGCGGCUUUGUAAGUUAGAGGUGAAAGCCCGGAGCUCAACUCCGGAAUUGCCUUUAAGACUGCAUCGCUUGAAUCCGGGAGAGGUGAGUGGAAUUCCGAGUGUAGAGGUGAAAUUCGUAGAUAUUCGGAAGAACACCAGUGGCGAAGGCGGCUCACUGGACCGGUAUUGACGCUGAGGUGCGAAAGCGUGGGGAGCAAACAGG